This 554-nucleotide ribosomal RNA is filed under the name uncultured bacterium. RNAcentral's name for it is "partial 16S ribosomal RNA". It matches the Rfam family "Bacterial small subunit ribosomal RNA", at positions 355 to 901 of the family's 1533-position model. The record is from RNAcentral.
UGGGGAAUUUUGGACAAUGGGCGAAAGCCUGAUCCAGCAAUGCCGCGUGUGUGAAGAAGGCCUUCGGGUUGUAAAGCACUUUUGUCCGGAAAGAAAUCCUUGGCUCUAAUACAGUCGGGGGAUGACGGUACCGGAAGAAUAAGCACCGGCUAACUACGUGCCAGCAGCCGCGGUAAUACGUAGGGUGCAAGCGUUAAUCGGAAUUACUGGGCGUAAAGCGUGCGCAGGCGGUUUGCUAAGACCGAUGUGAAAUCCCCGGGCUCAACCUGGGAACUGCAUUGGUGACUGGCAGGCUAGAGUAUGGCAGAGGGGGGUAGAAUUCCACGUGUAGCAGUGAAAUGCGUAGAGAUGUGGAGGAAUACCGAUGGCGAAGGCAGCCCCCCUGGGGCCAAUACUGACGCUCAUGCACGAAAGCGUGGGGAGCAAACAGGAUUAGAUACCCUGGUAGUCCACGCCCUAAACGAUGUCAACUAGUUGUUGGGGAUUCAUUUCCUAGUAACGUAGCUAACGCGUGAAGUUGACCGCCUGGGGAGUACGGUCGCAAGAUUAAAACU